RNAcentral lists this long non-coding RNA (3473 nucleotides) under Podarcis lilfordi (Lilford's wall lizard). Lineage: Eukaryota; Metazoa; Chordata; Lepidosauria; Squamata; Lacertidae. The record is from RNAcentral.
GAACUUAGCACUGAAGGAUACGAACAGCAUGAUUGUCCUUUGUAACUUUUCUUCCAAGGCAGCUGCUUUGAUGGCAGAAGAGCUGGCUGUGGAGGGUGACCCAAAGAGCCUCUAGCGGAGGCAGCCUGCCUGCUCCUGGGUCUCUGAGUUUCAUGCUGCCCCUCUUCCCCACCCACCCCACUUCUGAAGCUGAAAAAGGACAGAAACCGGCCCUCUAACCUGGAUAGGUUGGUCUUCUUCCUUUCCUUUUUUUAAACAAAUUCAUUUAACAAAGAUCUGUACAUAUUUCUAGUUUUUUAUCUUACGACACGUUUGCGUUUUACGACUUGACGGAUGACGGUUUUAUAGAAUUAUUUUGGUACAAUCCCUUGUGCCGUUUAGCCUGUAAAGUGCCGCUUCAAGGCUUCUUAGGAGCUGUUGACUUUUCACGUGGAUACUUUUUCAUUGCUCACUUACUUCUGGGGUUGUUUACACUUGGUUUCCUGAGCCAUAUUGCCUCAUCAGUUGCUAUGCUCCAUUUUUUGUCCUUUUACCGCUAUUUGGCUCAUUGCUCACCUCUGCCUCUGCCAUAAUUUUGUGUAAGUCAGGACUGGAACCCUUGCCUAUCAAGGAUGCUGUCUCAAUGUGUAACAGCCUUUUUCUUAGUUCUUUCCAACAAUUCCCAGUGGAAAGUAUUAAACUGAUUGGUAAAUUUUCAGGUGGGUGCCCUAUGUUUCUUGGUUUCGGUCUUUGGCGCUGACAGCUGUGCGGUCAGGCUGGGAGGAAGGUGCAUCAACAGGCCACCCUGCAUGCUUGCUCACAGCUAAUAAAUUGGGGCAAGGCGUAAGUACAAAACCAUGAGAGCCAGUGUGGUGUAGUGGUUAAGAGCGGUAGUCUCGUAAUCUGGGAAACCGGGUUCGCGUCUCCGCUCCUCCACAUGCAGCUGCUAGGUGACCUUGGGCCAGUCACACUUCUUUGAAGUCUCUCAGCCCCACUCACCUCACAGAGUGUUUGUUGUGGGGGAGGAAGGGAAAGGAGAAUGUUAGCUGCUUUGAGACUCCUUAAAGGGAGUGAAAGGCGGGAUAUCAAAUCCCAACUCUUCCUCUUCUUCAUGAUCUGACUUGGACACUAAGAGCACGCACCAGGAAACUAUUGGAAAAGGCCUUCUCUGGACAUGCCCACAAGCCAAAUGUCAAGAGAAGAUGGGCCUUCUGAAGUCUUGCUCACAGCAGGAUUAUAUUCACUGAGGCUGUGCAGAGCGAGGUUCAUAGACUUAGAAUUGGCCCAAAGGGUUGUCUAUUUCAACUUCCUGCAAUGCAGAUGGAGGCUUCUACUUACAAGAGCAAUGCUGAAGUGGAAAGCGGCUCUUGGAUGCUCUUCAAAAGUUCCAGGUGAGGUGAAUCUUUACCACCAGCUUGUCAGCUGGAAUUUACUUCUGUGUGGGAACAUCAAACUAUCCAGAAGCCAAUGUCUCUGGUCUUCAGUGAAAUAAAUAGUAGCAUCUUCCCUUUCAGUAUUGUUCUGCUCUGAAAAUUGGCACCCGUAUUCUUCAAGAAUUUGACACGCACCUUUGUUUUGGAACCACUGUUCCUCGAUUUCCCUCCCCACGGAGGGCAUUAAGAGGGACUGGCUUGCAGUGGUGUGACGAAGAACUCACAACAGCGGUUGUCUUGCCAUUUUCUGCAGAAAUUCUGUGGCAACUUACAUGUGCAAAGAGUAGACUGUGGUAAAACAAGUGUGGCUUUGAGGCUGUUCUUAAAUUCCAGUGGCUGACCCCUCCCUGCUAGCAUAAGCAGUUCCCAGAAUGCUCUGCUUUCACCACUCUGGUUAACAAGACCUGGCAGCCCUUGCCAGAUCCGUCACUUUGAACAAUAAGGAAAAAAAUGGAUUAGAUUAAGGUCAGUAUGGCAACUUGAGGUUGAAGAUCAAAUGCUGUUAUUUCCCCCCCUUUAUUACGAAAGAUUAAUUUUAUUUCCUUAACUGUUUUAAGUGGGUUUAUUUUUUUUAAAAAUGCCUUGUUAUGCCUGCCAGCAUAUCUUAUUUUAAAGGAGGUUAAGUGGCUGAGAUCUCUGGGUUGGUUUUGGUUCUAAGUAUGUGUUUCAUAAUACAAUACAAGGCAAGGCAGAUACUGGAUAGGAGUUUUGCUUUCAACGGACAAGUCCAUGGGGAGUAGGUUGCUGAGGAAUUCUUGAGAAUACCAACUGCCCACUCAGUAGCUCAACCACUAAGCAUGUGUAGAACUUAGGCAUGGGUAUUUUGUUAACUUCAGAGGAAUACUCGCACAGAUUUGCCAUCACUUUUGAAGUAAACCAGGGGAGCCCUUGCAGGAAAGAGAGCUUCAUACGUACAUAGGAAACCUCUGCAUCAGUAGCUGUUUUCUGAGUUGGGUGGACAGAAAUCAGUAAGCAAAAUGGGACAAAAUGAGUUGUUCAACCUUCUGUUUUUCCACCCUGGCAGUGCUUCUGGGAUAAUGCGUUUAGAGCCACCUUCCCCAACCACGUCCUCCACAUUUUUUGGACUGCAACUUGUAUCAUCCUUUUUAAAAAAAUAAUUUUCAUUUUCUAAUAUGCAAAAAGCAGUAAUAGCAAUAAUAAAGGAAAAAGAAAAAGUGAUCUAAAGAAGAAAGAGAAUGGAAUAUGAGGUGAGAAGGGAGUGGUAGUACUCCAAAAACAGCAUUAUAAUUCCAGACGAUUGUCCUUCAUAAGCAUAUUAUCCAAAGGAAUCCCUGAGGUAGCUGCCAGUUGUGUUCCUUUAAUGUAUGAUGCAAUAGAAGGUUUUAGAAAAGCUGUCCUUUGCUUUUGGAUUGCGCAGGGUUCAGCUGCAUUUUGUUAUACUUUCUUCCGUUAAAGCAGUGGCCCAGAUCUGGUGGUACCAGGAGUCUUGCAAGUCUCCUGCAGCUGACUUCCAGCGUUCGGCCGAACCAACUUGACAGUUGGCUGAUGCAAGCUGUAGUCCAACAAAUCUGGAGGGCACCAAGUUGGGGAAGGCAACUAUAGAGGAUUUGUGUGUGUGUGGAAAACUUCCAACUUUCCCUUUGGCCGGAAAAAAACCCUGUUUGCAAAGGUAUCAGAUUCAUAACAGUACCUGCCAAUCAUUCGUGGAACUGGAAAUGCAGGUGGGAUUCUUUUGUUCUGAUGCAAUGUUUUCCACAUUUAUUUUCCCUGUUGGAAUUUUCUCAGCAACCCCUCACUAUGGUGGGCAUCAAGAUCCAACUAGCUCAGAUGAGCUUGUCUGGUUUGUUAUUCAGAGUAGCAGGGACUUGUCCAGGAAAGAGGAGUUUGUUCUGAGGCUGGCUGGCUGGCUGGCAGCAUGGGUGUAGCUGUGUCACCAUCCUAAAUUCAAUCGUCAUUCUCUCAAAAUCAUCUUUCUUCACCAUUUCAGUGUGUCUUUUUGUUGUACCAUGGUUCGGUUCGGUUCUCUUCCCCUGCCCAUCAGUAUUAUAUAAAUGUAAAUAUUAUGCAUUGGCGUACAUAAAUAAUUUUACUAAAACUUUU